UACGAAGGGAGCGAGCGUUGUUCGGAAUCACUGGGCGCAAAGCGUGCGUAGGCGGUUUUGUAAGUCAGAAGUGAAAGCCUGGGGCUCAACCUCAGAAUUGCUUUUGAGACUGCAAAGCUAGAGUAUUGGAGAGGUUAGUGGAAUUCCGAGUGUAGAGGUGAAAUUCGCAGAUAUUCGGAGGAACACCAGUGGCGAAGGCGACUAACUGGACAAUUACUGACGCUGAGGCACGAAAGCGUGGGGAUCAAACAGG
RNAcentral lists this ribosomal RNA (253 nucleotides) under uncultured bacterium. RNAcentral describes it as "partial 16S ribosomal RNA". It matches the Rfam family "Bacterial small subunit ribosomal RNA", at positions 524 to 776 of the family's 1533-position model. The record is from RNAcentral.